AAAGAGGUGGUAGGUUUAUUAGGGCUCGAACAUACGUGAAUAUCACCAUUGUCAGCGAUAAAUUUCAACCAAUUAAACUAUAAGCCCCUAUGAAUAUCUGCACGCAAUUUGCUCACUUCAAGAAGUGAUCAAAAUUCACAUGUAGUUGACAAUAAAACCUUCCCUUUACAGUCGUUGCUUAAGCAAAUAGUGAAAACUUUCUUAUUGAUUUAUGUGAUUUAUGUCACGGUAAAACUAGAACGAGAUAGCUGUGAAAUUUGUCACUAGAUUGCCACAGACUGCGAGUCAACAUGGCGUACUAAUUUCUACUCUCUCUCUCUCUCUCUAUAUAUAUAUAUAUCAAAAGGAACAAAAAUUGUACAAUGGAGAUUGCAGACUGAAUUUUGGUCAUUUUUUAAAAAGUUUUACUGUGCUGCCAUGUGUCCCACUUGUUUAUAAAUAGGGAGCACCUGUCCUGCCGCAGGUAUACCUACUAGCAAUGUGUCCCAUUUUUACGUUGCUUCUUUAGUGAAAUGUGUUUGAAUGAUCCCUUAGCCCUGACCUACUGCGUCUGUUCUUUUUCUAAUUUUGUUCUGAUUUCCGCAAGUUCCUUUUGAAGCUCAGAUGGACUCGGUAGUUUCUUCAUCGGUGAUUAAGAGUUCAACUCAAAAUGGUUGUUUGAGGUAUAUUCUUUUGCUGAUUGUUCAAAUUUAGUGCAGUUUUAAUUUCUUAUGGAUGUAAAUGUUAUUUCUUCCGCUUGCUUUUCGAAUUUAUUAUCACCUAUUUGCUUCAUUGUUUGAGUGAGUCGCCAUUUUCGGUCUUCCUCCCUUUUCCUUGACGCUAAAAAAGACAAAAGUAUUUGUCUUGAUAACAAAAAGAAAGAAAGAAGAGAACAGAGGGAGUGCAUAGAGAGAGCGAACAAUAUUACCAUAGACAGAAAAUGCAACUUAAUGACUCUCAGUACUUAUAGCAUUGCACACUCGAGGUGGUUGAUGAUAUGCCUGAUACUACUAACAAUAGAUUGUUCUUUUGUUUUCGCGGAUUGUUCAGAACAUUCUGAUGUAUUAUGCAACCAUUCGAAAGGCACAUCGUCAUGAUAAAAAAAAAUAUCUCAAAAGGUAUGACGUAGACCUCAAAAUACUAAGGAACAACAGAUUGCUGAUAGAGCUUGCCAAAGCCGUUCCUUGCAGGUUCUUCUCUCUCCCUGAAACAUAUGCAUUGUAAUUUUCGAGUUUCUAGCUUAACCAUUUUAUCAUCGUAUCUAAAUCUCAACAUACAUUUCUAGAAUUGGUAGACACAUUCAUGUUACUUUUUUAAAUGAGGUAUUGUAUAUGUGCAAUCAAUAACCAAAAGCUUAUAGCAUAAAAAAAAAAUGCAAAUCUUAGUAAAUUAGUAAUAUAGGCAUAAACAGUACGUUGAUUUUUCACACUUUUGGGGGGGUUAUUUGGAUCUGCUAUAAUAAUUUUUGUUAGCUGAUUCUGAGAUCCUCAGAAGAUUUACGUUACAUGCAUCCAUUUUGGCUCUUUGAUAAAGAACCCUUAACUUGCAAUAAAAUGAAAGAGAUUUAUAAGCAAAACAAUAUUGAGCCAAAAGGAGAAUGGUUAUGGAUGAUUUAUAUAGUUGACGCUAAUUUUGUUCCAUAUUGAAGUUUAGUUGGCUCUUUUCAUUUUUGGGAUUUUUAGCAGAUUUAAGUAUGAUUCAUAUAACUUGACUCUAACGGUUAUUUGGGCUUACAACCUAGGAAGCGAGCUUCAUGAUAUGAGGGAUAGAGUAUGCUAUAUUCUUUUCAGUGACACAAAAUUUAAUUAUGGAACUUUAAUAUACUGCUGUAUUUUACAUGAUUGAUCAUUGGCCAGAAAAUUGUAGUUGUUAUAUAAUGGUUUAAAAGUGAUCGGAUAAGAGCUUUUUAACAGGGGAGGGAGUUUCAUGUUCUGUUUUUUAAAGUGCUGUUUGGUAGAUAAAGAAAGUAUAUUAAAUUAUGCACCCAAAUUCUAGGAUAAUCUCAGUAAUAUAAAGGAGCCUUCAUUUGAAAUUUAAUAUUGUUUUGCCUUUUUAAUUUUUUCAAUGAGGCACUCCAUAAGGAUCAUGUGAGCAGACCCUACAAGCUGACUGCCUUCAUCACCUACAAGGCUGGGAUGAGAUUGAGAAAGAAUUUUAGUUGUGUAUUCACAUUGUUCAUUUGUAUUAGCACUUAGACAUGGUAAAUAACAGUAACUUUGGUUUCUCGCACUGCCUUUCUCCCCUUAGGGUGUGAGACAAUACUAUUAUGUUGUCAUUUGAAUGCAUGGUUGGCUUUAGGGUGAUAUGUGGAACGCUCAUACUAAUUAAGGUAAGAAUGAACUUUAUAAUGAUAUGUGGGCAGCUCAUAUUAAGCAAGCAAGGUAAGAAUGAACUUUGCAGUUCCUUGGUAAACUAUAAGAAAUUCUUUCCAGUUUCUUUAUAAAAAAUAACUUUUUCCGUUUACUUUAAUUUUGAUAUCAGUGACCGUGAUAUCUUAUUAGCUGUUAUUUCAAUGUUUAUAGUAUAUAAUAAAAGGAAUGACCGCUACUUUGGCUCUCAAUGAGUUUGAUUGACCGAUAACUUCCCAAAAGAAAAAAGUGAAAGGUACACGAAUGUAUUAGUUUAUGGUUAGGCAUGUCCCCUUUAUAAAUUUAAGUUCUAAAAAAAUGAGUGUCUAGGUAAAUGCUUCAUCACAGUGCAAAGCACUUGAAGAACUGCAGCCUCAACUUUGACUUAUUAGGGAGUUUGAAAUUAGUCAUAGAAUUUAUCUGCGUGUAGAUGUUUAGAACUUCAUAAUGAAUAUGACUCUUGGUCAUUCUUCUAGCCUCUAUUGUGUUUGAUAAGUUUGGUGAGUUUUCUCUUCUUUCUUUCUUUUUCCUUGAAAGUUUUGUCCAUCUUUUUGUUUGAUUUUGGAUUUUCUAUUGUUUUGAAUACUUUGUUGCUACAUUUGUACAUGCAUGUCUGGAAUUAUAUCUGAUUCUGAUAUGCAAAAUUGGAAAGAAAUACCUAAAUUCAUGUCAGUGUUUUAAAAGGCAGUUUUGGGACUCGUCUCGGGGCUCGCCCCGGGGCGGGGCACUAGAAAAACGCCCCAGGGCUCACGUGCGAGGCUUAGUUCUUAUGAGGCUUACGCCCUAAGCGCCCGAUUGUACGCCCUAAACACGCCUAACGCCCAACGCUGGGGGCUCGUCUAAUAGUUCUUACACAAUUAUAUGUUAAAUUCCUUAAUUAAAAUCGUUGACCUUCAUAAUUCUUUAACAAAUGAUUGAUACUUAAUAGUUUUUCAUUUACCGAAAUAAGAAGAUUGGGUAUAACUCAAAUAACAAGUCGUAGUAUUGCAUAUUACUAUUUGAGAACAUCGAGAGGGUGAAUAUUACUUAAUAUUUCUUUUAAAAAUACAUAACUGAAUUGUGAGUUUUCACUUGUCAUUAGUCUUUUUUCCUAUGUAUCAAAAUUAUCAUAUUUUAUUAUUUCUCUAUUUAAAAGUAAUUUUAUUUUUAUUCAUGAAGGAAUUACGUUUCAAUUAUAAUAUUGAUAAAGUUGUUUAUAGGGAGAUAAAAUGAAUAGUAUGAUAGUAAUAUUGUUUUAAGAAAUUAUGAUUUUUUCAUUGUUUGAAAGUUAAAAUGUUAGAGUUGAUUUGCAUUUCAUAACAACUUUUAUUUCAUUGUAUGCUUUAUACUUGUAAGGUUAUAUUAUAUAUAAUUACAAGUUGUA
Molecule: long non-coding RNA, 3690 nt
Organism: Lycium ferocissimum
Lineage: Eukaryota; Viridiplantae; Streptophyta; Magnoliopsida; Solanales; Solanaceae
Exons: 3
Source: RefSeq, a predicted model, not a curated record